This 775-nucleotide ribosomal RNA is filed under the name uncultured bacterium. Its description in RNAcentral is "bacterial SSU rRNA". It matches the Rfam family "Bacterial small subunit ribosomal RNA", at positions 8 to 779 of the family's 1533-position model. The record is from RNAcentral.
CAGAGUUUGAUCAUGGCUCAGAUUGAACGCUGGCGGCAUGCCUUACACAUGCAAGUCGAACGGUAACAGGUCUUCGGAUGCUGACGAGUGGCGAACGGGUGAGUAAUACAUCGGAACGUGCCCGAUCGUGGGGGAUAACGAGGCGAAAGCUUUGCUAAUACCGCAUACGAUCUACGGAUGAAAGCGGGGGAUCUUCGGACCUCGCGCGGACGGAGCGGCCGAUGGCAGAUUAGGUAGUUGGUGGGAUAAAAGCUUACCAAGCCGACGAUCUGUAGCUGGUCUGAGAGGAUGAUCAGCCACACUGGGACUGAGACACGGCCCAGACUCCUACGGGAGGCAGCAGUGGGGAAUUUUGGACAAUGGGCGAAAGCCUGAUCCAGCCAUGCCGCGUGCAGGAUGAAGGCCUUCGGGUUGUAAACUGCUUUUGUACGGAACGAAAAGCCUCUUUCUAAUAAAGAGGGGUCAUGACGGUACCGUAAGAAUAAGCACCGGCUAACUACGUGCCAGCAGCCGCGGUAAUACGUAGGGUGCAAGCGUUAAUCGGAAUUACUGGGCGUAAAGCGUGCGCAGGCGGUUUUGUAAGACAGAGGUGAAAUCCCCGGGCUCAACCUGGGAACUGCCUUUGUGACUGCAAGGCUGGAGUGCGGCAGAGGGGGAUGGAAUUCCGCGUGUAGCAGUGAAAUGCGUAGAUAUGCGGAGGAACACCGAUGGCGAAGGCAAUCCCCUGGGCCUGCACUGACGCUCAUGCACGAAAGCGUGGGGAGCAAACAGGAUU